CCGACUCUUUCUGACUCUCAUUCAUUUUCUUUUCAUUCACAGGAACAGAUACAUUCAAUGGAGGGUGACUUUCAGUUGAUGCAGAAACUGAACUGUUCACUUCUGGUCUACUUACAGUUGUUUGAGACCCUGAUUUCUUCUCAGCAGCCUCGAACACAAGUUGGUCAUCAUGAACAUCUGGAUGAGAACGAUCCACAGGGUCAGGAUUCAAACCCACAUGCCAAUCCUUUUUAACACUCCUCCGAGGUACC
This 251-nucleotide unclassified non-coding RNA is filed under the name Hevea brasiliensis (rubber tree). The record is from RNAcentral. Lineage: Eukaryota; Viridiplantae; Streptophyta; Magnoliopsida; Malpighiales; Euphorbiaceae.